RNAcentral lists this long non-coding RNA (1082 nucleotides) under Monodelphis domestica (gray short-tailed opossum). Its description in RNAcentral is "lncRNA (ENSMODG00000027357.2)". The record is from RNAcentral. Lineage: Eukaryota; Metazoa; Chordata; Mammalia; Didelphimorphia; Didelphidae.
AAUUCUUUAUAUACACGUUGUCUCCUGGGUUCAGGUCGUGAAGUGAGAAGUCUAGUGGUCCAGCUUGUACUGCAGCUCCGGAUUCAUGUAUGUUUCCUCCCUAACUUCAUCCCGUUCCAUCAAUUGUUGAUAAAUAAGAGUAAUUUCUUUUUUAAUUUGUUCAAUACAAGCAUUUUGGUUCCGAAUUCUUUGAUCAGUGAUAGUAAUCAAUUCUUUAUGUUGCUGAUCAAUAAAUGUGUGCAAUUCUGUAAUUCUCUGAUCAGUUAUAAUAUUCUGUUCCCUAACUUUUUGAGUAAAAAUAUUAUUCUGUUCCUGAAGUUGCUCCCCAAUAAAAGUGUGGAGUUCCCUAAUACGUUGAUCAGUGAUAUUAUAUUGCUCCGUGAUUUGGUUUUCCAUAAAAGUGUGUAAUUCCUUAAUUUGUUUAGCAAUAGAAGGAACAAGGGAGUGUUCUCUCUUAGAGGUUAGGUAUAUCAUUGUAAGUACAACAAUUACAAUCCCAAGGAAGAUGAAUAUAAUGGUCACGAUGAGGUUUAUAGUUUCUGAAAAAUACCAUCCUAGAGGAACACCUACUAAAAAUCCAAUGCACUUGGUCAUUGAACUUAUAAGCCAAUUUCGAAGUAAAGCAGACAUUGGUUGUAGCCACAUUUUUUUCUUUCUUUGAGUCAAUUGCUAGGUUGCCUGUAGCUUUUUUUUUUUUCUAGUCUACAACCCAAUACAGGUUAAGGGCCUAUUGUGUUGUAAAUUCUCCUUAUCAAGCUUCUGGGAGGGGUUACAAAAACCCUCAUACAGGAAGGUAGAAGCUAUGAAAGGGCUGAUUAGGAGUGAAUAGACCGUAAACAAAAGGCCAAACUAAACCUCCUUCUUUUACAAAGUGGGUAUGGGUGGGUCCCAGCAAUCUUCUUUAGUCCUCAGGCUAAAACCGCUAGGACCAUGUGCUAUCUUCCUUGAGCAAAGCCCACUUAAAUUUUUAAGACUAGAAAGGCCAGGAAACAGAAAAAAAUGGGUUUUAAAUUAGCUCCCUAGCUGUAUUCAGCUGGUUUUUUGUUUUUUUUUUGCUUUUUGCGGACUAGGAGCUCCUAAGA